This 1059-nucleotide long non-coding RNA is filed under the name Rattus norvegicus (Norway rat). RNAcentral's name for it is "long non-coding RNA NONRATT003900". Lineage: Eukaryota; Metazoa; Chordata; Mammalia; Rodentia; Muridae. The record is from RNAcentral.
UAGUGUCUACCUGAAGGAUGUGAACAGCUGUUCACAGCACCAUUGAGAGAAUUCUAAUUUAGGCUAGAAAGGGGUGAGAAAAGUGAGGUUCCCUUUCCUGAUGGGACCGUGACUGGUAGCCCUUACCUCUAACCAGGGGUCCUGAAGGCUCGCUCUAGCUCUCUACCCCUUGGCUGAAUACUGAAGCAGAAACUAGCAGUUUCAGAUGGGAUUUUUGAGUGGCUUUUCUCUAUUACCGGUGACUUAUAGGUUUACAACCCUGGACUUCAGGUUUGCGUAUGGUAUAGCAACAGUAAAGUAUCCUAAAAAGAGUUGUACACUACAGAUGUCUUUUGACUCUGACAAUGUUCUCAUGAGUAGAAAACUUAAGAACAAAAUGUGCACAUAAGUUCCCUGGAAGACUUCAGCUCUUUAGCACAGGGACGCUCUUGUGUAUUCACUCUGCCCUUUUUACAUCUAAAGGGUAGUGUGUAAAGUACAUGUAAAGUGCAAUGAGUAGGUACAGCCACUAGGGGUCACAAUCUCAUCUUUGUUAGCCCAGGACCUUAGGCCUUCAGAAGAUCACAAGUGCUCUCUGUCCCACAACCAGGAAACAGAACUGAGCCUUUCGGGUGCUGUGACUUGCUCAAGGCUACAAAAAUACAUGAGGCUCAAACUGCUUCUCUGAGUGCCUUCCCCACUCAAGCCCUUUGGUUACCAUGUGAACGCACAUCAGCUUCAGCCGGCGUGUGCCAGGGCUGGGGCUCCGAGGAGGGCCUGGCUUUUAGUGGUGAGGUUCCACUGUGCCUUAGGAUACUGUUCGUGUCAGAUGUGUAGACAAAGUAAAGCGGCAACAUAGUGCAGUGCACUCGUUCUUCUGUUCUGGACCACGUCAGUCAGCUUGGUGGGGAAUAGAGGGUGCUAACCCGUGACUUUAGAGUUAGUGAUUCCCUGAUGCCAUAAUCCUCUGGAGGAAACCCGAAGGUCUUCAGGUUUCAUCACUAGGUGCCCAGUGCUCUUAGUUCGGGGUCAAAGGGUAAAAGAUUUGUAAGCUACAACUGCUGUAGGUAUGACCCAGUG